GUCUACGGUCAUGCCACUUUGAACGUGCUCAAUCUCAUUUGAUCUCGGAAGCUAAGCAGAGUUGGGCCUGGUUAGUACUUGGAUGGGAGAUCACCUUGGAAUACCAGGUGCUGUAGGUG
This 119-nucleotide ribosomal RNA is filed under the name Pteropus alecto (black flying fox). Lineage: Eukaryota; Metazoa; Chordata; Mammalia; Chiroptera; Pteropodidae. The record is from RNAcentral.